AGCGAACGCUGGCGGCAGGCUUAACACAUGCAAGUCGAGCGGGCACUUCGGUGUCAGCGGCGGACGGGUGAGUAACACGUGGGAACGUACCCUUUGGUUCGGAAUAACGCUGGGAAACUAGCGCUAAUACCGGAUACGCUCUUUUGGGGAAAGGCUUGCUGCCGCAGGAUCGGCCCGCGUCUGAUUAGCUAGUUGGUGGGGUAAUGGCCUACCAAGGCGACGAUCAGUAGCUGGUCUGAGAGGAUGCUCAGCCACACUGGGACUGAGACACGGCCCAGAAUCCUACGGGAGGCGGCAGUGGAGAAUAUUGGACAAGGGGCGCGAGACUGAACCAGCCAUGCCGGGUGAGGGAUGAUGUCCUGAGGGUUGUAAAGCUAUUUUGUCCGGGACGAGAAUGACGGUACCGGAAGAAUAAGCCCCGGCUAACUUCGUG
RNAcentral lists this ribosomal RNA (433 nucleotides) under uncultured bacterium. Its description in RNAcentral is "partial 16S ribosomal RNA". It matches the Rfam family "Bacterial small subunit ribosomal RNA", at positions 29 to 507 of the family's 1533-position model. The record is from RNAcentral.